This 249-nucleotide long non-coding RNA is filed under the name Carica papaya (papaya). RNAcentral's name for it is "long non-coding RNA (CPAP_LNC011063)". The record is from RNAcentral. Lineage: Eukaryota; Viridiplantae; Streptophyta; Magnoliopsida; Brassicales; Caricaceae.
ACCCCAAGAAGAAACACUAAGGCAAAUGAAUCCUUUCUCUUGGAGUUCUAUUAAUUGCUUCUUUAAUUCUUCUAUUUCAGCUCUCACCAGUCUGUAACGAGUAAUGGAGAUUAGUUGGGUGCCUAGUUGUAAAUCAAUGAAAAAUUCUAUUUCACGGUCUGAAGAUAAUCCUAGAAGUUCAUCAGGGAAUACAUUUGGAUACUUACAGACCACCAACACAUCAUAAAAAUCAAUCUUUUUAUCUUUAUC